UAAGAAGUGGCUUAACCAUUUAGACUUUCAGUGGUUUUAUGUUCUUGGAUUGUUAACUGUAAGUCUUUGAGUUCGCUACCUCUACAUGAAUUAAUUCAAGAUUAUUGGAAAAAUUGUAUUCUUAAAGCAGGGUAAUCUUUGACUAGAUCGAUAGAUGCAUAUGAAGUUAAUAGCUUAUUGCUAUUUGUUUGCAAUAUUCUUAAUAUUCAAUCAAAUACUCCUCCAAUCUUUUUGUCUUGAAGCAGAAAUCAAUGGAUAAAUAAGAAAUACCAGAUGUGUUUAUUUGUUAUCAAGGAAAAGGCAAAAGAAAACAAAAAGUGGUUGGUGGUGGCCACUUCUGCAGUCUGCUUGAAAAUAGUGUAGUUGAAAUUUGCUUCAGGGAGAAAAUGGGAUCAGAUUCCUUUCUCUAUCAGGAUCUGAUUUAUUCUGGUAUUUGGAGAUCUUUCCACUUCCUUUUCCACCUCUCAGAGUAUAAAGAAAAAAGAAUUCCUCUGAACCAAAUUCUUGAAGCAAUGAGUAUCCAAUUUAUCUGUUUUUCAUAAAAAGCAGUUAACUGGUCUCUGCCAUACAUUUCCUUGGAGCUAAAUGGACCCUUAAUGGUAAAUCAAGCAAUGUUUCUUGAACUAAAAGUUUCAGAAGCUACUUAGUCUAUUGUUGUGCUUUGUUGAUGCUUACUUUUCAGAAAUAAUAGAUAUUUUGGUCUUUUUAUUAGGAUUCUAGCCAGGAAAUGGGGCUAGAUUUUGUAGUUACUGUUUCAUCAUGUGCAUUCAUGAUCAUAAAAUAUCACCCACACUUAUGCCCAAUUGUUUUACAGGUUCUGAGGCAAUGUUUGCAGAUCUUUGCUAUUUCUCUGUAGGAUCUGUUCAGGCAAUGAAUUACACACUGUGCUUUGGAUACUUUCUUUCUGUUGCAGCUUCUUAAACAUCCUCAGACCUCUUUUUAACUUUUGACAUUCUGAUUGCUUUAAGUAAUUAUUGCAGCUAACUUUUGUGUUUUUGGUUCUGCCCUGCCUUCUGUUGGGAUACCUUGGCCAAGCUGCAUUCCUUAUGGAAAAUCUAACUACCUCUGAGCAGGUCUUCUUUUCGUCCAUCCCAAGUAAGCUGGAGAUUUAUUUAAAUAUAUGCAUUGCUAUGUUUAACAAGUAGAUAAACCAUGUUUCGGUAAUU
Molecule: long non-coding RNA, 1166 nt
Filed under: Phoenix dactylifera (date palm)
Lineage: Eukaryota; Viridiplantae; Streptophyta; Magnoliopsida; Arecales; Arecaceae
Description: long non-coding RNA (PDAC_LNC015606)
Source: RNAcentral